CCUACGGGGGGCAGCCGUAGGGGAUCUUCCACAGUUUGUGAAGGCCUGAUGGAGCAACGCCGCGUGGGUGAAGAAGGUCUUCGGAUCGUAAAACCCUGUUGUUAGAGAAGAAAGUGCGUGAGAGUAACUGUUCACGUUUCGACGGUAUCUAACCAGAAAGCCACGGCUAACUACGUGCCAGCAGCCGCGGUAUUACGUAGGUGGCAAGCGUUAUCCGGAUUUAUUGGGCGUAA
This 233-nucleotide ribosomal RNA is filed under the name uncultured bacterium. RNAcentral describes it as "partial 16S ribosomal RNA". It matches the Rfam family "Bacterial small subunit ribosomal RNA", at positions 338 to 563 of the family's 1533-position model. The record is from RNAcentral.